This 2745-nucleotide long non-coding RNA is filed under the name Equus asinus (donkey). RNAcentral describes it as "lncRNA (ENSEASG00005034690.1)". Lineage: Eukaryota; Metazoa; Chordata; Mammalia; Perissodactyla; Equidae. The record is from RNAcentral.
CACAGAAUCAAGCUCCAUCUGUCCCCACGUGGGCAUCUUGCCUGUUAUUGGAAUUGCUCACUGUGUGUGUCAGCUGGGCCAGGUCUGCAGGGCAGCCAGUCAUUUGAGACCAGAUGUCCUGUGCCUGUUGAUCUGCCCUGUUCUCAGAGCUCGCCUCCUUCCUGGUCCUUCCUAGUAUACUGUCCCUCUCCCUUCCUCGGCCUCCUUCCUAUUCCACUCUUGGGAAAUCCUUUUGGCUUCCCCCUGCCACCAUUUCUGAGCCCCAGGCUGCCACACUGUGCUGUACUCUGAACGGAGGGAACCGACAGACCAUUUCACUGGCUGGCAAACAGAUGUGUGUAGUUUGUUAAGAAAUUUCUACCAGGAUCUUUCAGAGUGCAAAACACUGUGGUAGGGCUUGUUAGGAAUACCAUAAAAUAUAAUACCGUAGGUGGGGUGUCCAGGUAAGGAACACAGGUGCGAACAGGUAACAGGUGAUGCAGGGCAGUGAAAAAUAGAUGACUGAAGAGGCCUGCAGUCAAAGAGGGCUUUGGGAGGUUAGGAAUGAGACCUGGGGGCUUCGGGCAGGGGAGUGUUCUCUGAAGCUCUGAACCAACCCCUGGCCUCAGGCUCGAAGGGUGGUGGCAGGAAUACCCCAAGUCUUCCUGCCUACGUGCCGCACUCCUGAAAUCUGUGCUGAGCUCCUUCGGCCAGAGUCUGUCUCUCACCGACCUUGGUGUUCUCAGAGCCUGGCACAUGGCACUCUCCAACAAACACCUGCCCACUGACUUGCUUAUGCUUGUGCUACUCUUUGCCUAAGUUUCUCCCCUGCGUAGCCUGUUAGACUUCUGCCUUUGGUUGGAGGCCUGGCUUGUGGGCUUCUAACCAAAGGCCUUUCUGGUUCCCCAGCCCUCCAGUCAGGUCUGAAUUCAAUUCCCCCCAUCCAAGUUCCCCAAGGCUCUUUUGACUUACUGCAGGACUGGCCCAGUGUCACCCUGGUGUCAACCGUACAAUAGACAUUAUAUGUACAUUGGCCAUAUGUCACGUAUGGGUUAAACUGGGACACUUGAGUAGGAAAGGAGGCAGAUGUAACCCAGGAUUGAAAAGCACACUAUCCAGAGAGGGCUGUCGUUGGCCUGCCCCUGCCGUGAGGGCUUGUGUGCAUGUGGACGAGCCACUCAGCUCCUCUGGGUUUUGGUGUUCCGGUCUGCAAGAAAUGGGGCUGGAUUCGGGGACUGGAUAGAUAACCUCUCAGGCUAUUUAAAGCACUAAAGUGAUAUGGCCAAUAGAGGAGGUUGGGGCCUGUGAGAGGUGUUCUGGUGGAGGUUGUGAGAUCGUGGAUGUGUUUGCAAAGAAGGUUUGGGGUCAGGGAAUGAGAACUAAGGCCAGGGCUGGUUAGGGCCCAGCCUGGAAGCAGUGGAGGCUGCUGAUGUUUCUGCUUUGGGCACGAGGUGAUAACCGUCCACUGCAGUCAAGAAACUUGGAAUGCUUACACAGGGGAGGCAGAUGGCAUUGUUCCCCACACAGAGGGAUAAACCAGCUGACAUUCAUUAACAGAGUUGGGAGGAAAGGGUGUCAAAAUGAGUUUCUUCCCCAUUUAGGACAGAGAAACGUUUUGAUCUAGGAUGGAAUGGAGAUCAAGGCCAUGGAGUUUGGCAAGAGAAGACAAACUCCUCCUUCCUCAGCUGCAGCUUCAUCUCACAUACCCUUCUAGGCCACCCUGUGCCUUUUCCUCUCUCCUUAUGAUUUCUGUGAUAACAUGCAGAAGGGCAGGGGCCUCUCCACACCCAACAGAAGGGAAUUUCAGUCGUGCCUGAGUCUGCCUUUCUCCACAGUUGCAUUUAGCAGAAGGAACCGUGGCUACCCACUUGGAAGGAACCUGUCAAUAACAAGGGCCACGAGGUCUUAGGGUGGUCUCCCUUGGAGAGAGGGAAGCUAUGUCUUUGUGGCACCAACAAAAACAAACUCAAGCUUUUAAAAAGAAAUGCAACCAGGUAUUUAGUUCACCCACCACCUUGGAUAUACUCCUUUUUUUUUUCUGAAUUGAAUUAGUUUUCUAAAAAAUAUAUUUUAAAGACACAUCCAGAAAGAACGUGACAGACAAAUGGGCAGAAUCUGAAAGAGGCAAGUUAUCUGGAAACGCAAAUGGAGGGAGAUGAGAGAAAACAGUCUGCAACUAGAGAAACCAUAAGAAUUGGAGAAAGUGACAGAAGUGGAGCAAAAGAGAGGAAGAUAGACAGGAAGAGAGAUGCACUCAGCUGGAGGGAGGGACGUCAGAGAUAAGAAGAGGAAAACACCCCAAGACUAAGCUAGUGGCAGAAAUGGUGCUCAGAGGUGCCCAGACAGGCAGGAAUCAGCACAGGUCAGAUUUAUAGCCCUCCCUUAUUUUGACCUGUCUCAAGUUUCCUAGAUGUGGGCCUGUUCCUGGAGCUGCCUGCAUUCUGCAGCUCUUUGCUAGCCAGGGAUUUAUGGUUCUGAUGUCAGGAAAAUUACUAAGUCUUGUUUCAGACAUGCCCCAUUCUCCAUUGGCUCCAACAGUGUUUGAUAUCCCAUGAGAGGAAACCAGAUCCUGUGAGUGAACUCAAGAUGUAGGCAAUGAGGGGCAUAGGGGAAAGGGGUUGCUGUCCUAGAAAAUUCUUGAAUUUCUUCUUGGAAGUAGCCAUCCUAUUACCAUGUAGAAGAGGACCAAGGGGCAUGUUCCUGAAGGCCUCUUGGCAGCUCUGCACCAUUAAUUCCAUGAGGAUUUGUGUGCCUGGGACCCAGCUG